GAUGAAGAACGUAGCGAAAUGCGAUAAGUAAUGUGAAUUGCAGAAUUCAGUGAAUCAUCGAAUCUUUGAACGCACAUUGCGCCCGCCAGUAUUCUGGCGGGCAUGCCUGUUCGAGCGUCAUUUCAACCAUCAAGCCCCGGGCUUGUGUUGGGGACCUGCGGCUGCCGCAGGCCCUGAAAUGCAGUGGCGGGCUCGCUGUCACUCCGAGCGUAGUAGUUACAUCUCGCUCUGGGCGUGCUGCGGGUUCCGGCCGUUAAAUGCCUUAUUUACCCAAGGUUGACCUCGGAUCAGGUAGGAAGACCCGCUGAACUUAAGCAUAUCAAUAAGCGGAGGA
This 334-nucleotide unclassified non-coding RNA is filed under the name soil metagenome. RNAcentral describes it as "partial contains 5.8S ribosomal RNA, internal transcribed spacer 2, and large subunit ribosomal RNA". The stretch from base 1 to 120 matches the Rfam family "5.8S ribosomal RNA", at positions 35 to 154 of the family's 154-position model. The record is from RNAcentral.